This 608-nucleotide ribosomal RNA is filed under the name uncultured bacterium. RNAcentral's name for it is "bacterial SSU rRNA". The stretch from base 1 to 540 matches the Rfam family "Bacterial small subunit ribosomal RNA", at positions 338 to 873 of the family's 1533-position model. The record is from RNAcentral.
CCUACGGGAGGCAGCAGUGGGGAAUUUUGGACAAUGGGGGCAACCCUGAUCCAGCCAUGCCGCGUGAGUGAAGAAGGCCUUCGGGUUGUAAAGCUCUUUCGGACGGAACGAAACGGGCGAGGCUAAUAACCUUGUCCACUGACGGUACCGUAAGAAGAAGCACCGGCUAACUACGUGCCAGCAGCCGCGGUAAUACGUAGGGUGCGAGCGUUAAUCGGAAUUACUGGGCGUAAAGCGUGCGCAGGCGGUUUUGUAAGCUGGAGGUGAAAUCCCCGGGCUUAACCUGGGAAUGGCCUUCAGGACUGCAAGGCUUGAGUACGGCAGAGGGAGGUGGAAUUCCACGUGUAGCAGUGAAAUGCGUAGAUAUGUGGAGGAACACCGAUGGCGAAGGCAGCCUCCUGGGCCAGUACUGACGCUCAUGCACGAAAGCGUGGGGAGCAAACAGGAUUAGAUACCCUGGUAGUCCACGCCCUAAACGAUGUCAACUAGGUGUUGGGAAGGUGACUUCCUUAGUACCGCNGCACGCGUGAGUAGACCGCCGUGGAGGACGCGCGAGUAAACGUACAANAGAGUGAGCGNGNGAGNGCGACGCGACGACGAGGGAGAGG